AGGGGUGUGCAGGAGAGUGCCAGGGGAUGGUCAGUUGAGGGUCAUGGCUUCCCCUCUGCCUGACCUCGUUUGUGUUGCUUUUUCUCCUUUAAUUGUUUUCUCUCAUCCUUGCUUGUGUUGCCUCAAGUCACUUGCGGCAUACUGUGAUGAGCCCCUGGUCCCUGGUCCCUGGUCCCUGGUCGAGUGCCAGUCUUGGGGGACCUGUGGGAGUGGCACCUUCUUCUUCUUCUUUUGACCUGUGUUGUGGUAGUUUUUCCAGUCUUCUAUUCUUCCAGAGUUAAUGGUUGAAACACUACUAGUAUAUCCCCUGGUCCCUGGUCCCUGGUCCCUGGUCGAGUGCCAGUCUUGGGGGACCUGUGGGAGUGGCACCUUCUUCUUCUUCUUUUGACCUGUGUUGGGGUAGUUUUUCCAGUCUUUUUUUUUUAGAACACACACAAAACCCUUAAAGUUUUAUAUAGUGGAGGAAGCUGUGGGGCCAGGACGAGCAGGAGCAGACAGCCUCUACCACCAUCAUCACCACCACCACCACCACCGCCACCACCGCCACCACCACCACCUUGCUGCCGACCCCUCCAGCCAUAAAGGAAAGGGAACAUUUAGUGUGAGAAGAUUGGAGACUGAGAGCAGGUUCACCAGACACAGCCUUGCUCUCACCGCUGAAGGAAACCAUGAGUGCCCAGAGUGUGGCCACAGACUCCCUGGGAAGGAUGGCCUCUACAAUUACACCCACGCACUCUUCUGGAAAUACUCAUGAGUGUCGAGAGUGUGGCAAAGAGUUCAGUUGUAAGCAUAGCCUCGACGCACACACCCUUACACACACUGGUGAAAGACCUCAUGAAUGCCGAGAGUGUGGCAAAGUGUUCACUCAGAAGGGUACUCUCAACAGACACGUCCUCACACACUCCGGUGAGCGACAUUACGAGUGUCGAGAGUGUGGCAAAAGGUUCCAGAGGAGGAGUUAUCUCACAGUACACCUCGCGAAACACACCGGGGAACGAUCUCACGAGUGCCGAGACUGCGGCAAAAAGUUCUUCAGUAAGAGAGACCUCACUGAACACACCCGCACCCACACUGGCGAACGGCCCCAUGAGUGCGUCGAGUGCGGCAGAAAGUUCACGAAGAAGCAUACCCUCAAAACGCACGUCCUCACACACUCCGGCGUAAAACCUCAUGAAUGCCCCCAAUGUGGCAAGAGAUAUUUCUGGAAGGGUGCGUUGAACUCACACGUCCGUACCCACACCGGCGAACGACCUCACGAAUGCCAAAAGUGCGGUAAAGGGUUCCGCAACAGGAGCGACCUCAACGCACACACGCUGAUCCACACCGGGGAAAAACCGCAUCAGUGCCGAGAGUGUGGGCGGAGAUUCGCGCGGAAGUCCAGUCUCACUCUACACGCACUCACCCACACUCACGAAAGGCCUCACGAGUGCGUAGAGUGUGGCAACAGAUUCGCGAGUAAGUAUCGCCUCAACACACAUAUGCUAAGACAUUCUGGCUUGAGGGAGUUUAAGUGUGACCUUUGUGGGAAGCUUUUCAAGGUGAAGCAAGAUAUUGUCCACCAUAUGAAAAUCCACUUUCCCUGAGGUGGAGGUGGAGGUGGAGGGGAGUGGUCAGCAGCUCCGCCCUGGACAAGAAUCCCCGACCUCUGGAAUGCAAGUGCUCAGUUUUGGGGGAGGAAGAAGAUGAAGAGGAAGAUGAAGAGGAAGAAGAAGAUGAGGAGGAAGAAAAUGAAGAAGGAGGAGGAGAAGAAGAAGAAGAAGAAGAAGAAGGAAG
Molecule: RNA transcript, 1773 nt
Organism: Eriocheir sinensis (Chinese mitten crab)
Lineage: Eukaryota; Metazoa; Arthropoda; Malacostraca; Decapoda; Varunidae
Gene name: zinc finger protein 100-like
Exons: 3
Source: RefSeq, a predicted model, not a curated record